Non-coding RNA from Heterocephalus glaber (naked mole-rat), 383 nucleotides. Lineage: Eukaryota; Metazoa; Chordata; Mammalia; Rodentia; Bathyergidae. The record is from RefSeq and is a predicted model, not a curated record.
CCUCCUGCUUUGGGAUCCUGUGUUCCUGACACUAACCAGUAUCUAACCAUCCAACCUCUGGAAACCAGCAUCUACUCUUCACUUGAAAGGUUAUAUUGAACGUCAACAUCAAGAAAAUCAGAUCUGAAGAGAUGGAUACAGAAGUGGUUUGUGCUUAGUGAAAGAUAUACCCAGAAGUGCUGUGAACCACCCAAGAAAACCGUCAACAACAUCUGGUAGAUAUAGAUAAGACCAAAUGUGCAACCGUAGAAGUCACAAGUCACCCUGUGCUUCCUAUCACUGUGAGCCUGGGGCCUCGGUGUCCUGGGGCUUUGUGGGAUACAGGCACCUUGUCAGACCUCCCAUCAGGACCUCAUCACCUCCUCCCUCUGCACAGCAGCCCG